RNAcentral lists this ribosomal RNA (503 nucleotides) under uncultured bacterium. Its description in RNAcentral is "partial 16S ribosomal RNA". It matches the Rfam family "Bacterial small subunit ribosomal RNA", at positions 29 to 523 of the family's 1533-position model. The record is from RNAcentral.
AACGAACGCUGGCGGCGUGUCUUAAGCAUGCAAGUCGUGCGGCAAGGUCAGCAAUGGCCCUAGAGCGGCUGACUGGUGGGUAACGCGUGGGUGAUCUGCCCUUGGGAUGGGGAUAGCCUCUAGAAAUAGAGGGUAAUACCGAAUACGUUCCCCCGACUGUGGUUGGGGGAGGAAAAGCGCUUCGGCGCUGCCCGAGGAUGAGCCCGCGUCCCAUUAGCUAGUUGGUGAGGUAAUGGCCCACCAAGGCGAUGAUGGGUAGGCGGCCUGAGAGGGUGUACGCCCACACUGGGACUGAGAUACGGCCCAGACUCCUACGGGAGGCAGCAGCUAAGAAUAUUCCGCAAUGGACGAAAGUCUGACGGAGCGACGCCGCGUGGAUGACGAAGGCCGAAAGGUUGUAAAAUCCUUUUGUUGGGGAAGAAUAAGCGUGGGAGGGAAUGCCCGCGUGAUGACAUGAACCGACGAAUAAGCCCCGGCUAACUACGUGCCAGCCGCCGCCGUAA